GGAGCUAGCAGAGGGAGAAUCUGUUACUACGUUACCUCAAGAAAGGAACAAAACUGCACUAAAACACAACACAAAGAAAGCAAAUUUUAAUCAGUUGAACCAGAAGAUAAUCGAUGAAAGACUAAACAAAGUUUAAAUGGUAAGCAUAAAAAAAGCUACGCACCUGGGAUGCCGCAAGAGAGAAAAAGAAGAAGAGGCAGAGAGAAAAAUAAGAGGUGUCGCAUGCGAGAAAAGGAAGAGGCCGCAAGAGAAAAUGGAGAAGAGGAAGACGAUAUCAGAAACUGAAUGUCGCGAAGAGUUUGCAGUUGUAUUUAAAAUGAAAUUGGGCAUCGGUUGCUCUAGUCACCGACGUCUAUAUUGACAUAGACGUCGGUUAUCUCACUAAUAUGACGUCCAAG
Molecule: long non-coding RNA, 398 nt
Filed under: Vigna radiata
Lineage: Eukaryota; Viridiplantae; Streptophyta; Magnoliopsida; Fabales; Fabaceae
Description: long non-coding RNA (VRAD_LNC013678)
Source: RNAcentral